UACGGAGGCAGCAGUGGGGAAUAUUGCGCAAUGGGGGGAACCCUGACGCAGCAACGCCGCGUGAGUGAUGAAGGUCUUCGGAUUGUAAAGCUCUGUUUUCUAGGACGAUAAUGACGGUACUAGAAGGAGGAAGCCACGGCUAACUACGUGCCAGCAGCCGCGGUAAU
This 167-nucleotide ribosomal RNA is filed under the name uncultured bacterium. RNAcentral describes it as "partial 16S ribosomal RNA". It matches the Rfam family "Bacterial small subunit ribosomal RNA", at positions 340 to 524 of the family's 1533-position model. The record is from RNAcentral.